RNAcentral lists this ribosomal RNA (253 nucleotides) under uncultured bacterium. Its description in RNAcentral is "partial 16S ribosomal RNA". It matches the Rfam family "Bacterial small subunit ribosomal RNA", at positions 524 to 776 of the family's 1533-position model. The record is from RNAcentral.
GACGUAGGGGGCCAGCGUUGUUCGGAAUUACUGGGUGUAAAGGGUUCGUAGGCGGUGCGGCAAGUUGGGAGUGAAAUCUCUGGGCUUAACCCAGAGGCUGCUUCCAAAACUGCUGUGCUUGAGUGUGGGAGAGGCGCGUGGAAUUGCAGGUGUAGCGGUGAAAUGCGUAGAUAUCUGCAGGAACACCCGUGGCGAAAGCGGCGCGCUGGACCACUACUGACGCUGAGGAACGCAAGCUAGGGGAGCAAACAGG